RNAcentral lists this ribosomal RNA (490 nucleotides) under uncultured bacterium. Its description in RNAcentral is "partial 16S ribosomal RNA". It matches the Rfam family "Bacterial small subunit ribosomal RNA", at positions 30 to 507 of the family's 1533-position model. The record is from RNAcentral.
AUUGAACGCUGGCGGCAGGCCUAACACAUGCAAGUCGAACGGUAACAGGAAGAAGCUUGCUUCUUUGCUGACGAGUGGCGGACGGGUGAGUAAUGUCUGUGAAACUGCCUGAUGGAGGGGGAUAACUACUGGAAACGGUAGCUAAUACCGCAUAACGUCGCAAGACCAAAGAGGGGGACCUUCGGGCCUCUUGCCAUCGGAUGUGCCCAGAUGGGAUUAGCUAGUAGGUGGGGUAACGGCUCACCCAGGCGACGAUCCCUAGCUGGUCUGAGAGGAUGACCAGCCACACUGGAACUGAGACACGGUCCAGACUCCUACGGGAGGCAGCAGUGGGGAAUAUUGCACAAUGGGCGCAAGCCUGAUGCAGCCAUGCCGCGUGUAUGAAGAAGGCCUUCGGGUUGUAAAGUACUUUCAGCGGGGAGGAAGGGAGUAAAGUUAAUACCUUUGCGCAUUGACGUUACCCGCAGAAGAAGCACCGGCUAACUCCGUG